UAAGUUAGAAAGGGCGCACGGUGGAUGCCUUGACACUAGGAGUCGAUGAAGGACGGGACUAACGCCGAUAUGCUUCGGGGAGCUGUAAGUAAGCUUUGAUCCGAAGAUUUCCGAAUGGGGAAACCCACCAUACGUAAUGGUAUGGUAUCCUUAUCUGAAUACAUAGGGUAAGGAAGACAGACCCAGGGAACUGAAACAUCUAAGUACCUGGAGGAAGAGAAAGCAAAUGCGAUUUCCUGAGUAGCGGCGAGCGAAACGGAACAUAGCCCAAACCAAGAGGCUUGCCUCUUGGGGUUGUAGGACAUUCUAUACGGAGUUACAAAGGAACGAGGUAGACGAAGCGACCUGGAAAGGUCCGUCGUAGAGGGUAACAACCCCGUAGUCGAAACUUCGUUCUCUCUUGAAUGUAUCCUGAGUACGGCGGAACACGUGAAAUUCCGUCGGAAUCUGGGAGGACCAUCUCCCAAGGCUAAAUACUCCCUAGUGAUCGAUAGUGAACCAGUACCGUGAGGGAAAGGUGAAAAGCACCCCGGAAGGGGAGUGAAAGAGAUCCUGAAACCGUGUGCCUACAAAUAGUCAGAGCCCGUUAACGGGUGAUGGCGUGCCUUUUGUAGAAUGAACCGGCGAGUUACGAUCCCGUGCGAGGUUAAGCUGAAGAGGCGGAGCCGCAGCGAAAGCGAGUCUGAAUAGGGCGUUUAGUACGUGGUCGUAGACCCGAAACCAGGUGAUCUACCCAUGUCCAGGGUGAAGUUCAGGUAACACUGAAUGGAGGCCCGAACCCACGCACGUUGAAAAGUGCGGGGAUGAGGUGUGGGUAGCGGAGAAAUUCCAAUCGAACCUGGAGAUAGCUGGUUCUCCCCGAAAUAGCUUUAGGGCUAGCCUUAAGUGUAAGAGUCUUGGAGGUAGAGCACUGAUUGGACUAGGGGUCCUCAUCGGAUUACCGAAUUCAGUCAAACUCCGAAUGCCAAUGACUUAUCCUUAGGAGUCAGACUGCGAGUGAUAAGAUCCGUAGUCAAAAGGGAAACAGCCCAGACCGCCAGCUAAGGUCCCAAAGUGUGUAUUAAGUGGAAAAGGAUGUGGAGUUGCUUAGACAACUAGGAUGUUGGCUUAGAAGCAGCCACCAUUUAAAGAGUGCGUAAUAGCUCACUAGUCGAGUGACUCUGCGCCGAAAAUGUACCGGGGCUAAAUACACCACCGAAGCUGCGGAUUGAUACCAAUGGUAUCAGUGGUAGGGGAGCGUUCUAAGGACAGUGAAGUCAGACCGGAAGGACUGGUGGAGUGCUUAGAAGUGAGAAUGCCGGUAUGAGUAGCGAAAGACGGGUGAGAAUCCCGUCCACCGAAUGCCUAAGGUUUCCUGAGGAAGGCUCGUCCGCUCAGGGUUAGUCAGGACCUAAGCCGAGGCCGACAGGCGUAGGCGAUGGACAACAGGUUGAUAUUCCUGUACCACCUCUUUAUCGUUUGAGCAAUGGAGGGACGCAGAAGGAUAGAAGAAGCGUGCGAUUGGUUGUGCACGUCCAAGCAGUUAGGCUGAUAAGUAGGCAAAUCCGCUUAUCGUGAAGGCUGAGCUGUGAUGGGGAAGCUCCUUAUGGAGCGAAGUCUUUGAUUCCCCGCUGCCAAGAAAAGCUUCUAGCGAGAUAAAAGGUGCCUGUACCGCAAACCGACACAGGUAGGCGAGGAGAGAAUCCUAAGGUGUGCGAGAGAACUCUGGUUAAGGAACUCGGCAAAAUGACCCCGUAACUUCGGGAGAAGGGGUGCUUUCUUAACGGAAAGCCGCAGUGAAUAGGCCCAAGCGACUGUUUAGCAAAAACACAGCUCUCUGCGAAGCCGUAAGGCGAAGUAUAGGGGGUGACACCUGCCCGGUGCUGGAAGGUUAAGGAGAGGGGUUAGCGUAAGCGAAGCUCUGAACUGAAGCCCCAGUAAACGGCGGCCGUAACUAUAACGGUCCUAAGGUAGCGAAAUUCCUUGUCGGGUAAGUUCCGACCCGCACGAAAGGUGUAACGAUUUGGGCACUGUCUCAACCAGAGACUCGGUGAAAUUAUAGUACCUGUGAAGAUGCAGGUUACCCGCGACAGGACGGAAAGACCCCGUGGAGCUUUACUGUAGCCUGAUAUUGAAUUUUGGUACAGUUUGUACAGGAUAGGCGGGAGCCUUUGAAACCGGAGCGCUAGCUUCGGUGGAGGCGCUGGUGGGAUACCGCCCUGACUGUAUUGAAAUUCUAACCUACGGGUCUUAUCGACCCGGGAGACAGUGUCAGGUGGGCAGUUUGACUGGGGCGGUCGCCUCCUAAAGUGUAACGGAGGCGCCCAAAGGUUCCCUCAGAAUGGUUGGAAAUCAUUCGUAGAGUGCAAAGGCAUAAGGGAGCUUGACUGCGAGACCUACAAGUCGAGCAGGGACGAAAGUCGGGCUUAGUGAUCCGGUGGUUCCGCAUGGAAGGGCCAUCGCUCAACGGAUAAAAGCUACCCCGGGGAUAACAGGCUUAUCUCCCCCAAGAGUCCACAUCGACGGGGAGGUUUGCACCUCGAUGUCGGCUCAUCGCAUCCUGGGGCUGUAGUCGGUCCCAAGGGUUGGGCUGUUCGCCCAUUAAAGCGGUACGCGAGCUGGGUUCAGAACGUCGUGAGACAGUUCGGUCCCUAUCCGUCGUGGGCGUAGGAAAUUUGAGAGGAGCUGUCCUUAGUACGAGAGGACCGGGAUGGACGCACCGCUGGUGUACCAGUUGUUCUGCCAAGGGCAUAGCUGGGUAGCUAUGUGCGGAAGGGAUAAGUGCUGAAAGCAUCUAAGCAUGAAGCCCCCCUCAAGAUGAGAUUUCCCAUAGCGUAAGCUAGUAAGAUCCCUGAAAGAUGAUCAGGUUGAUAGGUUCGAGGUGGAAGCAUGGUGACAUGUGGAGCUGACGAAUACUAAUAGAUCGAGGACUUAACCA
Molecule: ribosomal RNA, 2917 nt
Filed under: Bacillus cereus
Lineage: Bacteria; Bacillati; Bacillota; Bacilli; Caryophanales; Bacillaceae
Description: bacterial LSU rRNA
Rfam family: Bacterial large subunit ribosomal RNA
Source: RNAcentral